RNAcentral lists this ribosomal RNA (253 nucleotides) under uncultured bacterium. RNAcentral describes it as "partial 16S ribosomal RNA". It matches the Rfam family "Bacterial small subunit ribosomal RNA", at positions 524 to 776 of the family's 1533-position model. The record is from RNAcentral.
UACAGAGGAGCCAAGCGUUGUCCGGAUUGACUGGGCGUAAAGCGCACGCAGGCGGAUGCGCGCGUGGGGUGUGAAAUCUGGCCGCUUAACGGCCAGGCGCCAUCCCAUACGGCGCGUCUGGAGUGAUGCAGAGGUCGGUGGAAUUGCCGGUGUAGUGGUGAAAUGCGUAGAUAUCAGGAGGAACACCGGUGGCGAAGGCGGCCCUCUGGACGGAUACUGACGCUGAGGCACGAAAGCUAGGGGAGCAAACAGG